GGACGAACGCUGGCGGCGUGCCUAAUACAUGCAAGUCGAACGCUUCUUUCCUCCCGAGUGCUUGCACUCAAUUGGAAAGAGGAGUGGCGGACGGGUGAGUAACACGUGGGUAACCUACCCAUCAGAGGGGGAUAACACUUGGAAACAGGUGCUAAUACCGCAUAACAGUUUAUGCCGCAUGGCAUAAGAGUGAAAGGCGCUUUCGGGUGUCGCUGAUGGAUGGACCCGCGGUGCAUUAGCUAGUUGGUGAGGUAACGGCUCACCAAGGCCACGAUGCAUAGCCGACCUGA
Molecule: ribosomal RNA, 290 nt
Filed under: Enterococcus faecalis
Lineage: Bacteria; Bacillati; Bacillota; Bacilli; Lactobacillales; Enterococcaceae
Also listed under: 1 other name
Description: partial 16S rRNA
Rfam family: Bacterial small subunit ribosomal RNA
Source: RNAcentral